AGAUGUCCGCUUCAGGUA
Molecule: unclassified non-coding RNA, 18 nt
Filed under: Chlamydomonas reinhardtii
Lineage: Eukaryota; Viridiplantae; Chlorophyta; Chlorophyceae; Chlamydomonadales; Chlamydomonadaceae
Description: small RNA Cre_0441
Source: RNAcentral